This is a long non-coding RNA of Cololabis saira (Pacific saury), 896 nucleotides long. RefSeq lists it as uncharacterized. The record is from RefSeq and is a predicted model, not a curated record. The transcript is spliced from 3 exons. Lineage: Eukaryota; Metazoa; Chordata; Actinopteri; Beloniformes; Belonidae.
CAGUGUUCAUUGGACAUUUAACUAUAUACACAAUAUUUUUAAAUUAAUCAACAAAACAAUAUUUAUAACAAUUUAACAUCACAGAUCCUGGAUGUCUCCUGUCAGCAGACAGAGAUUGUGCAGGAUGCAGCAAUCACUUUGGGGGCAAAUAGAGGCUGGAUCUCCAAAGCCCAGAGGAAGAUGGCUCUCCAGCGGGUUUUGAGCACCCGAAGGUUCCGCUCAAUCACGUUCCUGGCCUUGGCAUGGUGCCUGUUGAAUCUGCUUCAACUUGGCCUGUUGAUUAAAAUACAGGAUGGCAGUAUGUGGUCAUGAGGGUCACAGGAUGCUGUAGGCAAGGGGGAGGAAGCAGCCAGCUGCAGGUGGGAGGAUUCUGACAUGGCACCCAUCUAUGCCACCAGCCGCACAGUGGAGCCCCCACCUCCGCCAUCUGUCCUGGCUUGGGGAAAUGGAUGACUCGGUGAAGGAUGGCCAUCAUCUCCUCCACUACAUUGUGGACUAUUCUGCCAACUGUGGCUCUGGGUAUGGUGAAGAUGUCUGCUGCCACUCUGUAGGAAGUGCCUUCAUGCCAGCCAGUACAGAGACACAGCCAUCUCGAUGUCAUGGCUCCAUCCAUGAGGCUGUUGCCGAGGCAACAUCUGGACCAGCACGUUGAUGGAUCUCUGGAGUCUAAAAGCUGGUUUCAGGUUGGCCUCAGAUAAAAGCUGGUUUUCAGGUCGGCCUCAGAGAAGAACGUGCAGAGGAUCGGCACAUGGUUGUUUAUUUGCACAUACCUCCGAGGAGUUUGAUCCUGUUUUUUAAAAAAAAAAGGGAAAUGUAUAUAUUUAAUAUCUAUUCCACUUAUUUAUUAAUUAUUUAUUCAUUAUCAAUUAACAUCCCAAUAUUCAUUUAUUUAUUCG